This is a non-coding RNA of Phrynosoma platyrhinos (Desert horned lizard), 71 nucleotides long. The record is from the annotation of a GenBank genome assembly. NCBI's taxonomy places the organism in Eukaryota, Metazoa, Chordata, Lepidosauria, Squamata, Phrynosomatidae.
GCAUUAUAGCUCAAUGGCAAAGUACAUGCUUUGUGUGCAAAAGGUCCUAGGUUCAAUCCUUGGCAUUUGCA